GGGGACGAUUAUGACGGUACCCGUAGAAUAAGCCCCGGCUAACUUCGUGCCAGCAGCCGCGGUAAUACGAAGGGGGCUAGCGUUGUUCGGAAUUACUGGGCGUAAAGGGUGCGUAGGCGGUUUGGUAAGUCUGGUGUGAAAUCUCCGGGCUCAACCCGGAAUCUGCCUUUGAAACUGGCGGGCUUGAGUAUGGGAGAGGUGAGUGGAAUUUCCGGUGUAGCGGUGAAAUGCGUAGAUAUCUGGAGGAACACCUGUGGCGAAAGCGGCUCACUGGACCAUUACUGACGCUGAGGCGCGAAAGCGUGGGGAGCAAACAGGAUUAGAUACCCUGGUAGUCCACGCCCUAAACGAUGAAUGCUU
RNAcentral lists this ribosomal RNA (360 nucleotides) under uncultured Acidobacteriota bacterium. RNAcentral describes it as "bacterial SSU rRNA". It matches the Rfam family "Bacterial small subunit ribosomal RNA", at positions 441 to 818 of the family's 1533-position model. The record is from RNAcentral. Lineage: Bacteria; Pseudomonadati; Acidobacteriota.